Molecule: ribosomal RNA, 249 nt
Filed under: uncultured bacterium
Lineage: Bacteria
Description: partial 16S ribosomal RNA
Rfam family: Bacterial small subunit ribosomal RNA
Source: RNAcentral
CGGGAAGCCAUAUGGCGACAUAGAGCGGAACCCGAAAACCUGUCUCAGUUCGGAUUGGAGUCUGCAACCCGACUCCAUGAAGCUGGAUUCGCUAGUAAUCGCGCAUCAGCCACGGCGCGGUGAAUACGUUCCCGGGCCUUGUACACACCGCCCGUCAAGCCAUGGAAGCCGGGAGUGCCUGAAGUGCGUGACCGCAAGGAGCGUCCUAAGGCAAUACCGGUGACUGGGGCUAAGUCGUAACAAGGUAGC